AAUCAACGCUGGCGGCGUGCCUAACACAUGCAAGUCGAACGCGAAAGCCCCGCAAGGGGUAAGUAGAGUGGCAAACGGGUGAGUAACACGUGGGUGACCUGCCUUCGAGUGGGGGAUAACGUCCCGAAAGGGACGCUAAUACCGCAUGACAUCCUGCUCUUGGACGAGCGGAGAUCAAAGCUGGGGAUCGCAAGACCUGGCGCUUGAAGAGGGGCCCGCGCCUGAUUAGCUAGUUGGUGAGGUAACGGCUCACCAAGGCGACGAUCAGUAUCCGGCCUGAGAGGGCGGACGGACACACUGGGACUGAGACACGGCCCAGACUCCUACGGGAGGCAGCAGUGGGGAAUUGCUCGCAAUGGGCGCAAGCCUGACGACGCAACGCCGCGUGGAGGAUGAAGAUCUUCGGGUCGUAAACUCCUGUCGAGCGGGAAGAACGUUUCGCGGAUGAAUAAGCCGCGGAAGUGACGGUACCGCUAAAGGAAGCCCCGGCUAACUCCGUGCCAGCAGCCGCGGUAAUACGGGGGGGGCAAGCGUUGUUCGGAAUUACUGGGCGUAAAGGGCUCGUAAGUGGCCAACUAAGU
Molecule: ribosomal RNA, 581 nt
Filed under: uncultured soil bacterium
Lineage: Bacteria
Description: bacterial SSU rRNA
Rfam family: Bacterial small subunit ribosomal RNA
Source: RNAcentral